UUGCGGUUAAAAAGCUCGUAGUUGGAUCUCGGCAGGCAGGGUGGUGGUUCGCUCCUUAGCGCUACUGCCCCAUUUGCCUGUGUGAUUGGCGGAGGUUUCGGGGUGCCCUUUAUUGAGUGACCCGGGGCGCCGUCAGGUUUACUUUGAAAAAAUUAGAGUGCUCAAAGCAGGCUUUUCACGCUUGAAUAUUCGUGCAUGGAAUAAUGGAAUAGGAACUCGUUUCUAUUUUGUUGGUUUCCGGAAAUCGAGUUAAUGAUUAAUAGGGACAAUUGGGGGCAUUAGUAUUCAGACGACAGAGGUGAAAUUCUUGGACCGUCUGAAGACUAACUACUGCGAAAGCAUUUGCCAAGAGUGUUUUCAUUAAUCAAGAACGAAAGUUAGAGGUUCGAAGGCGAUCAGAUACCGCCCUAGUUCUAACCAUAAACGAUGCCAGCUAGCGAUCUGCCGAGUUUUUUUUGUAGGCUCCGCAGGAAGCUUUCGGGAAACCAAAGCUUUUGGGUUCCGGGGGAAGUAUGGUUGCAAAGCUGAAACUUAAAGGAAUUGACGGAAGGGCACCACCAGGAGUGGAGCCUGCGGCUU
This 579-nucleotide ribosomal RNA is filed under the name uncultured marine eukaryote. RNAcentral's name for it is "SSU rRNA". It matches the Rfam family "Eukaryotic small subunit ribosomal RNA", at positions 613 to 1191 of the family's 1831-position model. The record is from RNAcentral.